GCCACAGUGACCAAAGUGGGUGCAGCACCCGC
RNAcentral lists this small RNA (32 nucleotides) under Bombyx mori (domestic silkworm). RNAcentral describes it as "ovarian small RNA-5309". Lineage: Eukaryota; Metazoa; Arthropoda; Insecta; Lepidoptera; Bombycidae. The record is from RNAcentral.